Molecule: ribosomal RNA, 253 nt
Filed under: uncultured bacterium
Lineage: Bacteria
Description: partial 16S ribosomal RNA
Rfam family: Bacterial small subunit ribosomal RNA
Source: RNAcentral
UACGGAGGGUGCAAGCGUUAUCCGGAUUUACUGGGUUUAAAGGGUGCGCAGGCGGACGAGUAAGUCAGAUGUGAAAGCUCACAGCUUAACUGUGGAAUUGCAUUUGAUACUGCUCGCCUUGAAUUGUGUUGAGGUUAGCGGAAUGAGUCAUGUAGCGGUGAAAUGCAUAGAUAUGACUUAGAACACCAAUUGCGAAGGCAGCUAACUAGGCAUUAAUUGACGCUCAGGCACGAAAGCGUGGGGAGCGAACAGG